Molecule: small RNA, 241 nt
Filed under: Arabidopsis thaliana (thale cress)
Lineage: Eukaryota; Viridiplantae; Streptophyta; Magnoliopsida; Brassicales; Brassicaceae
Description: ATSL253930
Source: RNAcentral
GUUUUAUUAAUUAUUACCGCACCCGCUGGUUUACCAGUCAUAAAACUCCCGCAAACGCACCUAUUAUCAAACGCUUAUCCAGUCGUUCAAAACGCUUGAUAACGCUUAAAACCGCAACCACCGGUUUCCGCAAACUUCCGUAACCGCAUCCACUCCGUUUAAACCAGCCAGGCCCUAUAUUUUGCUUCUUAGUCAACAGUAUAAUUUCAAGUUAAGAAGGAAAAAAAAACUCUUAAAGGGC